GUAGGUGGCAAGCGUUGUCCGGAAUUAUUGGGCGUAAAGCGCGCGCAGGCGGUCCUUUAAGUCUGAUGUGAAAGCCCACGGCUCAACCGUGGAGGGUCAUUGGAAACUGGGGGACUUGAGUACAGAAGAGGAAAGCGGAAUUCCAAGUGUAGCGGUGAAAUGCGUAGAGAUUUGGAGGAACACCAGUGGCGAAGGCGGCUUUCUGGUCUGUAACUGACGCUGAGGCGCGAAAGCGUGGGGAGCAAACAGGAUUAGAUACCCUGGUAGUCCACGCCGUAAACGAUGAGUGCUAAGUGUUAGGGGGUUUCCGCCCCUUAGUGCUGCAGCUAACGCAUUAAGCACUCCGCCUGGGGAGUACGGCCGCAAAGGCUG
Molecule: ribosomal RNA, 372 nt
Filed under: uncultured organism
Description: partial 16S ribosomal RNA
Rfam family: Bacterial small subunit ribosomal RNA
Source: RNAcentral